RNAcentral lists this unclassified non-coding RNA (385 nucleotides) under Hevea brasiliensis (rubber tree). The record is from RNAcentral. Lineage: Eukaryota; Viridiplantae; Streptophyta; Magnoliopsida; Malpighiales; Euphorbiaceae.
GAGUGUGUUUUCUCCAUUUUUCAUCCAUCUUCAAAGAUGAGAAACUUUGAAUGAUUGUUGUUUCUUGAGAAUUUGCUUGAAGGAACCAACACAACCACAAAUUGUAUAAUCACUUUAUUAAAGAGACCUACAAAUCUCUAAUCUGCAGAAAUUAAAUCUUGUAGGAAGGGACCUAUACAUGUCCAUAAAUUGCUAAAAACCUGUUUGAAAGGAUCAUGCAUGUCUAUAAACUGCCAAAUUUUGUGAAAUUAUUGCUGAAAGACUAUAAGCCAUCAUUUUAUGGAGUCUUGCUAUCAAUGAAGAGAUUUUUUUAUUCAUCUUUGUUUGAAGCUACUUGGAGAACGUAUAAACCAAACUGAUGUCUAAAGCCAACUGUUAUGGAAAG